This 459-nucleotide ribosomal RNA is filed under the name uncultured bacterium. RNAcentral describes it as "partial 16S ribosomal RNA". It matches the Rfam family "Bacterial small subunit ribosomal RNA", at positions 338 to 795 of the family's 1533-position model. The record is from RNAcentral.
CCUACGGGAGGCAGCAGUGAGGAAUAUUGGUCAAUGGGCGGGAGCCUGAACCAGCCAAGUCGCGUGAGGGAAGAAGGUACUGAGUAUUGUAAACCUCUUUUGCCAGGGGACAAAGGCGGCCACGGGUGGUCGUAAGAGGGUACCUGGAGAAAAAGCAUCGGCUAACUCCGUGCCAGCAGCCGCGGUAAUACGGAGGAUGCGAGCGUUAUCCGGAUUUAUUGGGUUUAAAGGGUGCGCAGGCGGCGUGUCAAGUCAGCGGUAAAAUGUCGGGGCUCAACCCCGGCCGGCCGUUGAAACUGGCGUGCUUGAGUUGGAGAGAAGUAUGCGGAAUUCGUGGUGUAGCGGUGAAAUGCAUAGAUAUCACGAAGAACCCCGAUUGCGAAGGCAGCAUACCGGCUCCACACUGACGCUGAGGCACGAAAGCGUGGGUAUCGAACAGGAUUAGAUACCCUGGUAGUC